This 71-nucleotide transfer RNA is filed under the name Sclerogryllus punctatus. Its description in RNAcentral is "tRNA-Lys". The record is from RNAcentral. Lineage: Eukaryota; Metazoa; Arthropoda; Insecta; Orthoptera; Gryllidae.
CAUCAGAUGACUGAAAAGUAAGUAAUGAUCUCUUAAAUCAUAUAAUAGUAAUUAACAACUACUUCUGAUGA